RNAcentral lists this transfer RNA (74 nucleotides) under Bacteriophage sp. RNAcentral's name for it is "tRNA-Gln". It matches the Rfam family "tRNA". From Rfam's summary of the family: Transfer RNA (tRNA) molecules are approximately 80 nucleotides in length. Their secondary structure includes four short double-helical elements and three loops (D, anti-codon, and T loops). The record is from RNAcentral.
AGCGCGAUGGUGUAACGGGAACACAACAGGCUCUGAACCUGUUGUUGCUGGUUCAAGUCCAGCUCGCGCCGCCA